Molecule: transfer RNA, 93 nt
Organism: Hydnomerulius pinastri MD-312
Lineage: Eukaryota; Fungi; Basidiomycota; Agaricomycetes; Boletales
Rfam family: tRNA
About the family: Transfer RNA (tRNA) molecules are approximately 80 nucleotides in length. Their secondary structure includes four short double-helical elements and three loops (D, anti-codon, and T loops).
Source: Rfam
GCCCGCUUAGCUCAGUGGUAGAGCGCGUCACUUGUAUCGGAUUGUGAGAUCUGAGGAAUGAUGAGGUCGGUUGUUCAAUCCAGCCAGUGGGCA